RNAcentral lists this ribosomal RNA (380 nucleotides) under uncultured eukaryote. RNAcentral describes it as "partial 18S ribosomal RNA". It matches the Rfam family "Eukaryotic small subunit ribosomal RNA", at positions 592 to 976 of the family's 1831-position model. The record is from RNAcentral.
CAAUAGCGUAUAUUAAAGUUGUUGCGGUUAAAAAGCUCGUAGUUGGAUUUCUGCUGAGGACGACCGGUCCGCCCUCUGGGUGAGUAUCUGGCUCGGCCUUGGCAUCUUCUUGGGGAACGUAACUGCACUUGACUGUGUGGUGCGGUAUCCAGGACUUUUACUUUGAGGAAAUUAGAGUGUUUCAAGCAGGCGCACGCCUUGAAUACAUUAGCAUGGAAUAAUAAGAUAGGACCUUGGUUCUAUUUUGUUGGUUUCUAGAGCUGAGGUAAUGAUUAAUAGGGAUAGUUGGGGGCAUUCGUAUUUAACUGUCAGAGGUGAAAUUCUUGGACUUGUUAAAGACGGACUACUGCGAAAGCAUUUGCCAAGGAUGUUUUCAUUGA